This 406-nucleotide ribosomal RNA is filed under the name uncultured bacterium. RNAcentral describes it as "partial 16S ribosomal RNA". It matches the Rfam family "Bacterial small subunit ribosomal RNA", at positions 30 to 526 of the family's 1533-position model. The record is from RNAcentral.
AUUGAACGCUGGCGGCAGGCCUAACACAUGCAAGUCGAACGAGUGGCGGACGGGUGAGUAAUGUCUGGGAAACUGCAUGAUGGAGGGGGAUAACUACUGGAAACGGUAGCUAAUACCGCAUACCAUCAGAUGUGCCCAGAUGGGAUUAGCUAGUUGGUGGGGUAACGGCUCACCAAGGCGACGAUCCCAAACUGGGCGGAGAGGAUGACCAGCGACACUGGAACUGAGACACGGUCCAGACUCCUACUGGAGGCAGCAGUUGGGAAUAUUGCACAAUGGGCGCAAGCCUGAUGCAGCCAUUCCGCGUGUAUGAAGAAGGCCUUCGGGUUGUAAAGUACUUUCAGCGGGGAGGCGUUACCCGCAGAAGAAGCACCGGCUAACUCCGUGCCAGCAGCCGCGGUAAUAC